CAGCAGGCGAGAAACCUUUGCAAUGUGCGAAAGCACGACAAGGUUAAUCCGAGUGUCUCCUGCUAAAGGAGUCUUUUGUCAGUUCUAGAAUCACUGGUGAAUAAGGGGUGGGCAAGUUCUGGUGUCAGCCGCCGCGGUAA
Molecule: ribosomal RNA, 140 nt
Filed under: uncultured archaeon
Lineage: Archaea
Description: partial 16S rRNA
Rfam family: Archaeal small subunit ribosomal RNA
Source: RNAcentral